Molecule: non-coding RNA, 1471 nt
Filed under: Halosimplex carlsbadense 2-9-1
Lineage: Archaea; Methanobacteriati; Methanobacteriota; Halobacteria; Halobacteriales; Haloarculaceae
Description: Archaeal large subunit ribosomal RNA
Rfam family: Archaeal large subunit ribosomal RNA
Source: Rfam by way of RNAcentral
CUAACGUGGCUGCUAUGCCACCUGGUGAAUAGCUCGGCUCGAGAGCCGACGAAGGACGUGCCAAGCUGCGAUAAGCCUGUGGGAGCUGCAUGGAAGCGAAGAACACAGGAUGUCCGAAUGGGAAUCCCCACCGNGCCGACGAAGGACGUGCCAAGCUGCGAUAAGCCUGUGGGAGCUGCAUGGAAGCGAAGAACACAGGAUGUCCGAAUGGGAAUCCCCACCGCAAUUGCUUCGCGCAAUGGGGAACGCCGGGAAUUGAAACAUCUUAGUACCGGUCGGAAAAGAAAUCAAACGAGAUAUCGUCAGUAACCGCGAGUGAACGCGAUACAGCCCAAACUGAAGGCCUCACGGCCAAUGUGGUGUAUUGGGCCGGCNAAUCAAACGAGAUAUCGUCAGUAACCGCGAGUGAACGCGAUACAGCCCAAACUGAAGGCCUCACGGCCAAUGUGGUGUAUUGGGCCGGCACUCAUCGUCGGAACCCUUCUGUGAAGUCUCCUGGAACGGAGCGCGACACAGGGUGAAAGCCCCGUAACGGAAGCUAGUAUGACGUGAGCCGGUUCCGGAGUAGCGGGGGUUGGAAAUCCCUCGUGAAUACGGCAGGCAUCUACUGCCAAGGCUAAAUACUCCUCGAGACNGUGGCGAUGGAGCGACGGGGCAUGAAAGGCCCGUUCGAAAACGACAGAGGCGCGAGCCUCCAGUAGGACCGAACGGGAGCCGAUGUUCCGUCGUACGUUUUGAAAAACGAACCAGGGAGUGUGUCUGUUUGGCGAGUCUAACCGGUUCAUCCGGGAAGGCAUAGGGAAACCGACAUGGCCGCAGUGCUUUGCACCAGGGCCGCCGUGUUCAAGCGCGGGGAGUCAAACUGACACGACCCGAAACCGGACGAUCUACGCGUGGGCAAGACGAAGCGUGCCGAAAGGCACGUGGAGGUCUGCUAGUGUUGGUGUUUUACAACACCCUCACGUGACCUACGUGUAGGGGUGAAAGGCCCAUCGAGUUCGGCAACAGCUGGUUCCGACCGACAAAUGUCGAAGCAUUACCCCUGCCGAGGUAGUUCGUGGGGUAGAGAGACUGAUUGAGCGGACCGCCCUCGAGAGAGGUCGGCCGUUCUGUCAAACUCCGAACCUACGAACGCUGGCGACGCGGGGAGUUCGGUGCGCGGGGUAAGCCUGUGUACCGUGAGGGAGACAACCCAGAGUCGGGUUAAGGUCCCCAAGUGUGGACUAAGUGCGAUCGAAGGUGGUCUCAAGCCCUAGACAGCCGGGAGGUGAGCUUAGAAGCAGCUACCCUCCAAGAAAAGCGUAACAGCUUACCGGCCGAGGUUUGAGGCGCCCAAAAUGAUCGGGGCUCAAGUCCACCACCGAUACCUGACCAUGCUCGUUACAGAGCAAUUGUGUAGGUCGGCGUUCUGAUCGGGUGGAAGCACGGCCGAGAGUUCGUGUGGACCGAUUUGAAACGAAAAUCCUGGUCA